GCAUAACGCGAAGAACCUUACCAGGCCUUGACAUGCAGAGAACUUUCCAGAGAUGGAUUGGUGCCUUCGGGAACUCUGACACAGGUGCUGCAUGGCUGUCGUCAGCUUGUGUCGUGAGAUGUUGGGUUAAGUCCCGUAACGAGCGCAACCCUUGUCCUUAGUUACCAGCACGUUAUGGUGGGCACUCUAAGGAGACUGCCGGUGACAAACCGGAGGAAGGUGGGGAUGACGUCAAGUCAUCAUGGCCCUUAGGCCUGGGCUACACACGUGCUACAAUGGUCGGUACAGAGGGUUGCCAAGCCGCGAGGUGGAGCUAAUCUCACAAAACCGAUCGUAGUCCGGAUCGCAGUCUGCAACUCGACUGCGUGAAGUCGGAAUCGCUAGUAAUCGCGAAUCAGAAUGUCGCGGUGAAUACG
Molecule: ribosomal RNA, 416 nt
Filed under: uncultured bacterium
Lineage: Bacteria
Description: bacterial SSU rRNA
Rfam family: Bacterial small subunit ribosomal RNA
Source: RNAcentral